GUUGGGUUAAGUCCCGCAACGAGCGCAACCCUUGUCUUCUGUUGCCAUCAGGUUAAGCUGGGCACUCUGAAGAGACUGCCGGUGACAAACCGGAGGAAGGUGGGGAUGACGUCAAGUCAGCAUGGCCUUUAUGUCUGGGGCCACACACGUGCUACAAUGGCAGGUACAAACCGUCGCGAGACCGCAAGGUGGAGCUAAUCGGAUAAAGCCUGUCUCAGUUCGGAUUGUCGGCUGCAACUCGCCGGCAUGAAGUUGGAAUCGCUAGUAAUCGCGGAUCAGCACGCCGCGGUGAAUACGUUCCCGGGCCUUGUACACACCGCCCGUCACAUCACGAAAGCUGGCUGUACUAGAAGUAGCAGCGCUAACCCGCAAGGGAGGCAUGUUCCUAAGGUAUGGUCAGUGAUUGGGGUGAAGUCGUAACAA
Molecule: ribosomal RNA, 423 nt
Filed under: uncultured soil bacterium
Lineage: Bacteria
Description: bacterial SSU rRNA
Rfam family: Bacterial small subunit ribosomal RNA
Source: RNAcentral